RNAcentral lists this unclassified non-coding RNA (233 nucleotides) under Hevea brasiliensis (rubber tree). The record is from RNAcentral. Lineage: Eukaryota; Viridiplantae; Streptophyta; Magnoliopsida; Malpighiales; Euphorbiaceae.
AUUCGGAGAGAAAAGCUCUUCAAGAGCUCAGACAACUGGUUGAAGAAGGUACAAAGAACCACAUAUUCCAAAUUCCACCAACAGAAAAUUCCAAAAUCGGGGAAAAUCAAGCAAAGGAAGUCCAGGAAGCAGCUCAAACUUCAAGUUUACCAGAGAAGAAGCUGUCAAUUUGGGGGAUUCCUCUUCUUGAAGAUGAUCGGACGGACGUGAUCCUGCUGAAGUUUUUGAGGGCA